GUCACCUGUGCCGAGGGAGCCUGGCGCUGGAUUAAGGUAAGCAAAUAAAUGGUUAAUUAACCAUUUAUUUGCCCGGGAAGGGGCCCUAGUCAAUUAGAAAUACAUAUUUGAAUUCCUAACGCUAUAGUGUUCCUUUAAAGAAUGAGAGGUUUCCUACAUAUGGCCAUCAUAUGUCAAUGCUCCUAACCAAGUGAGCCUGAAAAGGCCAACAGUUUUCCU
This is a non-coding RNA of Pelobates cultripes (western spadefoot toad), 219 nucleotides long. The record is from the annotation of a GenBank genome assembly. NCBI's taxonomy places the organism in Eukaryota, Metazoa, Chordata, Amphibia, Anura, Pelobatidae.